UAUUAAAUUCUCUAUAUACUAAAUGGCAAAGCUAUUCCACAUUCACUUGAGCACUGGCUGCCUCCAUCAACCCAUUGCGUAUUUGCUCACCAACAUCCCUAAUAUGACCAGGACCGUGAGGAAUAAAGACAGUAGUGUUCUUAGAUGAGGAUCCGAGGUCUUUGAUUGUGUCAAAGUAUUGGGUGAUCAUGAUGAGAUCCAUCACCUCCUUGGCAGUGGUUCCCUCCACCUUGUGAGAAAAAUUCAAUAU
This 250-nucleotide unclassified non-coding RNA is filed under the name Hevea brasiliensis (rubber tree). The record is from RNAcentral. Lineage: Eukaryota; Viridiplantae; Streptophyta; Magnoliopsida; Malpighiales; Euphorbiaceae.